RNAcentral lists this small RNA (68 nucleotides) under Sinorhizobium meliloti 2011. RNAcentral's name for it is "putative ncRNA". The record is from RNAcentral. Lineage: Bacteria; Pseudomonadati; Pseudomonadota; Alphaproteobacteria; Hyphomicrobiales; Rhizobiaceae.
ACGACCGCACCAUUCAGCAGGCUCGCCGCCUGGUCGCCGACCACGGUGAUGACGGGCAGCAUCGCAUU